UGGGCAAGAGGAGAAAAACAGGGAAAGAGAAGGAAAAAAGGAAAAAUACAAAGGAAAAAGAGCACAAAGGAGGAAGAGGAGAGAGGAGCAGACUCAGGAUUCCCCCGGUGAUGUCCCCGUGUCCCCCCCGUCCCCUCCCUGUCCCCCCUCACUGGCAACACUUUAGCACAAAGUGAAGUUUGCACUAAAAAGAAAUCAAGAAAAAGCAAAAAAAAAAAAGCUCCAAAUCCCCCCCAAAUCCCCCAGGAUUUUCCCUGUCCCGUCGCCUUAAAACCCCCCACCCCAAAAUCCCCUCCCGUAGCUCAGCAUCGAGAUUUUUGUCUUUAUUCUGAUUAAUUUUAAUUUAAUUUGAGGUUUUUUGUUGUUUUUUUUUUUUUUUUCCAAUCCAGGUUAGGAUGAAAGUGUUGCCAAAGAAAGUGCUGAGUUACGGUGGGAAGAGAGAGAGGAAUAAUAAUAAAAGUUAUUAAUAAUAAUAAUAAUAAUCGAUGAUUAAAUAAUAAAAUUUGGAUCAAAGCCAAGCAGGGGCAAGGGGAAAUAAGGAGGGGGGGAAAAAGGAUUUUUGUGAUUUAAAAGAGGAAAAAAUUUGUUUGUCCCCUCCCCUCCUUUCCUUCCCCCAUCCCACCUCCCCCUGUGGGGGCUCAGCCCAAUUUUGGGGGAUUAAUUCAGGUUUUGGGGGGGCUCAGCCCAAUUUUGGGGGAGUUAAUCCAGGUUUAGGGGGGCUCAGCCCAAUUUUGGGGGAUUAAUUCAAGUUUUAGGGGGGCUCAGCCCAAAUUUGGGGGAUUAAUUCAGGUUUAGGGGGACUCAGCCCAAUUUUGGGGGAUUAAUUCAGGUUUUAGGGGGGCUCAGCCCAAAUUUGGGGGAUUAAUUCAGGUUUUAGGGGGACUCAGCCCAAAUUUGGGGGAUUAAUUCAGGUUUUGGGGGUUCAGCCCAAAUUUGGGGGAUUAAUUCAGGUUUUAGGGGGGCUCAGCCCAAUUUUGGGGGAUUAAUUCAGGUUUGGGGGGGGCUCAGCCCAAUUUUGGGGGAUUAAUUCAGGUUUGGGGGGGGCUCAGCCCAAAUUUGGGGGAUUAAUUCAGGUUUUGGGGGUUUAAUCCUGGCUUUGGGGUCUGGGCUGCACCUCCUGCUGGGCUGGGACAAAUUUGGGUUUUUUUUUUCCCCCCCAAAAUCGGCUCUGGGGGGUUCCUGCCCCCCACACUGAGCAGGGGGGGUUUCAUUUCUCAUUUUUCCACAGAAAAGGGCUGAUUCCCCCUCCCCACCCCAAAAUUCUCCUUCAUCCCCCCCCUCUUUAGAGCCUCCCCAGCCCCAAUCCCCCCCCCUCAAAUUUAACAAUUUAAUAAUAAAUCAAGACCAAAACCCCCUGAAUUUCUCUCUCUAAAUUUUCUAAUUUUUUUUUUUUUUUUUUUUUGGAUCCACGACAAGGAAAAAAAAAAUAAAUUUCAAUCAAGAGAAACAAAAUAAAAAGAGCAAAACGGGAUGGAAAUUUUGGGGCGGGGAGGGGGCAAAAUGCUGCAUUAAAUUGUGUUUUAUAUAAUAAAAUUAUCUAUCUAUCUAUUAUCUAUAUAUAUAUAUAUAUAUAUAUACACAGCAAGAGCUGAAAUGUCCCAGGGACGGGGGGGACACCGAGCUCGGCCGGGGACCCCAAAGGAUGCUCGAGGUGGGGCCACUUUAUUAUAAAUAUUAAUUUUAUUUUCAUUUUUUUCCCUUUUUUUUUGGUUUUUUUUUUUUUUUUGGUUUUUUUUUUUCCUGCGUCUUUCUAUAUAAUCUAUUAAAGAGAUUCUUUAUCUUCAA
Vidua chalybeata is the source of this 1785-nucleotide long non-coding RNA. RefSeq lists it as uncharacterized. The record is from RefSeq and is a predicted model, not a curated record. NCBI's taxonomy places the organism in Eukaryota, Metazoa, Chordata, Aves, Passeriformes, Viduidae. The transcript is spliced from 2 exons.